AGUCCUGGAGAGAGAGGCAGGGUCUGAUCCUCAGCCUCCAUGGCAGGUGUUGAUCAGCCAUUGCCUCUCUCUUUCCACACU
Non-coding RNA from Myotis davidii, 81 nucleotides. NCBI's taxonomy places the organism in Eukaryota, Metazoa, Chordata, Mammalia, Chiroptera, Vespertilionidae. The record is from Rfam.